AUACAGGCAAAGACGGAGAGUUUUCGAGUUGUUCGGUUUUCAGAGAGGCGUCGGCAGGUGAAAGACGUCAGCCGUUAUUCGGAUUGUAGCUCCCGAGCCGGAGGGAAGAAAGCUUUUGCCGUAGAACCCUCCCGUUAUUCUGCGUUAAGGAUUUGAGUGGUAUUCUUUGAAUACAAAUUGAGUGGUACCGCGGGUUUUAUCUCGUCUCAAGG
This 212-nucleotide non-coding RNA is filed under the name Ruminococcus sp. Its description in RNAcentral is "T-box sequence". It matches the Rfam family "T-box leader". Rfam says of the family: Uncharged tRNA acts as the effector for transcription antitermination of genes in the T-box leader family. T-boxes are found upstream of many aminoacyl-tRNA synthetase genes and some amino acid biosynthetic genes usually in Gram-positive bacteria. Lineage: Bacteria; Bacillati; Bacillota; Clostridia; Eubacteriales; Oscillospiraceae. The record is from RNAcentral.